RNAcentral lists this ribosomal RNA (905 nucleotides) under uncultured bacterium. RNAcentral describes it as "bacterial SSU rRNA". It matches the Rfam family "Bacterial small subunit ribosomal RNA", at positions 8 to 916 of the family's 1533-position model. The record is from RNAcentral.
AGAGUUUGAUCCUGGCUCAGGACGAACGCUGGCGGCGUGCCUAACACAUGCAAGUCUGGGAGAAUUGGGUAGCAAUAUCCAUAGUAAACCGGCGCACGGGUGAGUAAUAUAUAGGUAAUUUCCCUUUUGUUUUGGAAUAACCCCGCGAAAGCGGGGCUAAUACCGAAUGAUGCAGCGGCUCCGCAUGGAGAUGUUGUUAAAGCUUCGGCGACAAAAGAUAAGCCUGUAUCCCAUUAGAUAGUUGGCGAGGUAACGGCUCACCAAGUCUGCGAUGGGUAGCUGAUCUGAGAGGAUGAUCAGCCACACUGGAACUGAGACACGGUCCAGACUCCUACGGGAGGCAGCAGUGAGGAAUAUUGCGCAAUGGAGGAAACUCUGACGCAGCGACGCCGCGUGAAGGAUGAAGGCCCUCUGGGUUGUAAACUUCUGUAGAGUGGGAAGAAUUUCCGCCUCUGGCGGAUUGACGGUACCACUAAAGUAAGGGUCGGCUAACUACGUGCCAGCAGCCGCGGUAAUACGUAGGACCCGAGCGUUGUCCGGAAUCACUGGGUGUAAAGGGAGCGCAGGCGGACUUUCAAGUCGAUGGUGAAAUCUUACGGCUCAACCGUAAAACUGCCGUCGAUACUGCUUGUCUUGAGUGUGAAAGAGGGUGGCAGAAUUCAUGGUGUAGCGGUGAAAUGCGUAGAUAUCAUGAAGAAUACCGGUUGCGAAGGCGGCCACCUGGUUCAUUACUGACGCUCAUGCUCGAAAGCGUGGGGAUCAGACAGGAUUAGAUACCCUGGUAGUCCACGCCCUAAACGAUGAAUACUCGGUGUUGGGUCGCAAGACUCAGCGCCUAAGCUAACGCAUUAAGUAUUCCACCUGGGAAGUACGAUCGCAAGGUUGAAACUCAAAGGAAUUGACGG